RNAcentral lists this long non-coding RNA (209 nucleotides) under Mytilus galloprovincialis (Mediterranean mussel). Lineage: Eukaryota; Metazoa; Mollusca; Bivalvia; Mytilida; Mytilidae. The record is from RNAcentral.
UCGCGGAUUUUUUUCUAUUUGUCAAAUUUAGACAUUUUUUCAAGUUUUAUCGUAUUUUUUCUUUUUGUAAUGCAUUAGAAUCUGAAUAACAGUACUGUAGUUGAAGAGUUGCCACCGUCAAUUUUGACUUGACGGUCGCAAAUCUCCGUUUUACUGUCUCCGCUACGCGUCGCCAGUAAAACUGCAUUUGCGACCGUCAAAUCUACAAU